This 771-nucleotide long non-coding RNA is filed under the name Brassica napus (rape). RNAcentral's name for it is "long non-coding RNA (BNAP_LNC009318)". Lineage: Eukaryota; Viridiplantae; Streptophyta; Magnoliopsida; Brassicales; Brassicaceae. The record is from RNAcentral.
UAUAAUAUAGAAGAGUGAUUGAUUCCUUUGGUAUAUGAGAAGCUUGCUUUGUUAUCUUUACAUGCUUUUUUCUUCUUUUAAUAUGGCUUUAACUUUGUUCUUUAGUUCUUUUUCUUUUCUUUUGAUGAGAUAAAUGGCUUGUUGACUAAGAUAUAUCAAGAAUCUGGUACGUAAUAAGGUAGCUAUGAUUUUAUUGUCAUAUGAUUCUAUUUGAAAGAUAUAUAAUUAAUAGUCAUAAGUGCUUUUAAAAUAACUAAUUCAAUUCAGUUUAAUGAAAAAUAAGUUUGAAUAACUUAUCCAAUUUUCUUUUAUGUUUGACUAGUUGAAAUAGUGCCAAUGUUUUAGAUCAAUUAAAAUCCUAUGAACGAAGUAACUCACUGUCUACCGUACUCACUGGAAGAUUAGUCGGGUUGGUCCUGGACCUGGUUACACCUUGUUAAAAAAAGGAAGGAAUUAGGUGUUGAAACUCUUGAAGUUGGUGUGUAAAAUGACAAGAAAAGGUGCUCAAACUUAUAUCUCCAGAUGCGAGGGAUGAAUGAUUCGCAGAGUUCGUGAAUGAUGUUUAAUUUAUGUUUGUUUUUUCCUCAAUUAUCACAAGUUAAAUAGUUCAUUAUAUUUAUAAUUCUUUUUGUCCCGUACGAAAGAGAGAUUUAAAAUGUUAAAAGUUCUACAUGAGUGUAUGAAUAUUAUUAGGUUGUGAGAAUAAAUCCUUUUUUUUUAACAAAAAGGAAAAAAAUCCUUUUUUAACAGUACCUGAGGUAUUGGUUGAGA